UCUUCUUCUUUCUUUGGUAAUAAUAAUACGAAUGGUUUUGCUUCCUUUUGCUUGGUUGCUAGGGUUUGAUGAGUUGAUUCGUCUGAAGUAGUAGUAGUAGCAGUGUAAGAGUACGAGCAUACGUCUCUAUCUCCAAUAAAUGGUGGCACAGUUGUGCGUGGAGAGUGGGAAGGGUAGGUAGCUAUGGACUCCCCAUUUACUCUUUACAUCAUUACUAUUUUUAAAUUGCACCUAGCUACUACAUCCUACUUCUUGCGUGCAUAUUUAAAUUCAGGUACCCUUUCUUGGAUGUACCGUGCAAUGUGUACAUAAAAAGUUGUGGAUUUUUUUUAUCAAAUCGGUGUAAUUUUAUACAUUAAUUGGUGAUAUUAAUCAAAUUUUUAAAAAUAUAUUAAAAUUAAUGUAAUUUGAUUUCAAUUAAAGUUGUGUGAUUUAUAUAUUUUAGUAAUUUUUAUAAAUUUUACUUAUUUCAAUUAUAAAUAUCACGUGAAGUUGUAUUUUAUUGGUAAAAAAUUCCAAAGUUAGGUAAUUGAAAUUCAAUAUAUUUAGCAUGAUUGGUCUUCCUACUUAUGAGAGGACAAGGACUAAAUUUCAUUUGACAACUUUUUAUAAUAGUAUUUUAAAUUACAAUAAAAUAAAUUUAAUUAAAAUAUUAAUUUAUUGAGUUGUUAAUUGAGUAUAUUUCCUAUUUCGUAAAUAACAUAUUUUACAACAACAUAUUAAGUCGGUUAAAUGAAAAUCAAUGUAAACAAAAAUACGGUUAUAUUUUUGUAAAUAUUUGACACAUAUUACACACUAUCUAACCGGUGUAAUAUGUCCUGCUCAGAGCAAACAAAAAUGGUUUUUAAAAAUUUUAUCUCUCGGAUUACAUAUAACAUCAAUUAGAUCGAUGAACUAGUGUUAUAUGUCAUUCCAAGAUUAAAAAAAAUUAAAAGUUUUUAAAAAGAACAUAUAACAUCGGUUCUUUUAUACAACCGAUGUUAUAAUUUGAAACAUUUAAUUAUGGGCAUUACAUAUAACACCAGUGUUAUAUGUAAUUUUCAGAUUAAUUUUUUUUUUAAGUUUUAAAAAAGAUAUAUUACACCAAUUAUUACUCAUAACUGGUGUAAUAUAUGUUUUUACCCUAUUUUCUUGGCUUACACUCUCAUUCUUCAUUCAUGUUAUUCUCCUAAGUUUUCUUGCUCAAAAGUUCAUUUUGCUUCUGUCAGUGUUGUUGCCACUAUCGAUGCCUCCACUGCUCCCCCCACCAUUUCUCUCUUAUUUCGUUCUCUUCAUCGUGAGAGCAUUCACACUGAAUAAGAUUCUUUCAUUCACGCUUCUAUACUAUUUCGUUGUCACUCUUGUCGUUGCUCUCUUGCCGCCAAUGUGGCCGCCACAUUGCCUCCAUUGCCGCCACAACUUCGUUCACGUUCACGCUCCAGGCUAGU
Molecule: long non-coding RNA, 1427 nt
Filed under: Phaseolus vulgaris (common bean)
Lineage: Eukaryota; Viridiplantae; Streptophyta; Magnoliopsida; Fabales; Fabaceae
Description: long non-coding RNA (PVUL_LNC004567)
Source: RNAcentral